AUACGGAGGGGGCAAGCGUUGUUCGGAAUUAUUGGGCGUAAAGGGCACGUAGGCGGUCAAGUAAGUUGGUGGUGAAAGCCCUCGGCUCAACCGGGGAAUUGCCCUCAAAACUGCUUGACUUGAGUCCCGGAGAGGGUGGCGGAAUUCCCAGUGUAGCGGUGAAAUGCGUAGAUAUUGGGAGGAACACCAGUGGCGAAGGCGGUCACCUGGACGGGUACUGACGCUGAGGUGCGAAAGCGUGGGGAGCAAACAGGAUUAGAAACCCGGGUAGUCC
This 274-nucleotide ribosomal RNA is filed under the name uncultured bacterium. RNAcentral's name for it is "partial 16S ribosomal RNA". It matches the Rfam family "Bacterial small subunit ribosomal RNA", at positions 523 to 796 of the family's 1533-position model. The record is from RNAcentral.